GAAUAUUGGACAAUGGGCGCAAGCCUGAUCCAGCCAUGCCGCGUGAGUGAAGAAGGCCUUAGGGUUGUAAAGCUCUUUCACCCGUGACGAUGAUGACGGUAGCGGGAGAAGAAGCCCCGGCUAACUCCGUGCCAGCCGCCGCGGUAAUACAGAGGGUGCGAGCGUUAAUCGGAAUUACUGGGCGUAAAGCGCACGUAGGUGGCGACGUAAGUCGGGUGUGAAAGCCCUGGGCUCAACCUGGGAAUUGCAUUCGAGACUGCAUUGCUGGAGUACGGAAGAGGAGGGCGGAAUUCCCGGUGUAGCGGUGAAAUGCGUAGAUAUCGGGAGGAACAUCAGUGGCGAAGGCGGCCCUCUGGUCCAGUACUGACACUCAAGUGCGAAAGCGUGGGGAGCAAACAGG
Molecule: ribosomal RNA, 400 nt
Filed under: uncultured bacterium
Lineage: Bacteria
Description: bacterial SSU rRNA
Rfam family: Bacterial small subunit ribosomal RNA
Source: RNAcentral